GUGAAUCAUCGAAUCUUUGAACGCAAAUUGCACUCCCUGGUAUUCCGGGGAGUAUGCCUGUUUGAGGGUCGUUAGAAUAAAAAAUCGAUUGGUCGCUGUUUUUUUUAAGGGUGAUUGCGUUGGAAUUGAGCCGUCUUUCUAAUGGUAAUUUAUGUUAAUGUUGUUUGAAAUUUAUCCAUCUGGUUAG
This 187-nucleotide unclassified non-coding RNA is filed under the name Glomeraceae sp. RNAcentral's name for it is "partial contains 5.8S ribosomal RNA and internal transcribed spacer 2". The stretch from base 1 to 71 matches the Rfam family "5.8S ribosomal RNA", at positions 84 to 154 of the family's 154-position model. Lineage: Eukaryota; Fungi; Glomeromycota; Glomeromycetes; Glomerales; Glomeraceae. The record is from RNAcentral.